Small nucleolar RNA from Stegostoma tigrinum, 192 nucleotides. RefSeq annotates it as small nucleolar RNA SNORA53. The transcript has a single exon. The record is from RefSeq and is a predicted model, not a curated record. Lineage: Eukaryota; Metazoa; Chordata; Chondrichthyes; Orectolobiformes; Stegostomatidae.
AACACACUCUUAAAUGCACCUUUUUGGGAUGUAUCUGUUCUGUCUUGCUGGUGAUUCUUUUCACCCUGGUGUUGGAUUCUGCAAUGUGCUUGACAGCUCACAUUCAUCAACUUUAGAGGUGGCACAGUGGAAGGUGCUUGACUCAUUGGUGUGUAGGAGCAAUACCCCUGCAUUGUAUUGUCUACAGGAAUA